RNAcentral lists this ribosomal RNA (403 nucleotides) under uncultured bacterium. Its description in RNAcentral is "bacterial SSU rRNA". It matches the Rfam family "Bacterial small subunit ribosomal RNA", at positions 356 to 773 of the family's 1533-position model. The record is from RNAcentral.
AGGGAAUUUUCCGCAAUGGGCGAAAGCCUGACGGAGCAACGCCGCGUGAGUGAAGACGGCCUUCGGGUUGUAAAACUCUGUUCUUGGGGAAGAAGAAAGUGACGGUACCCAAGGAGAAAGCCCCGGCUAACUACGUGCCAGCAGCCGCGGUAAUACGUAGGGGGCGAGCGUUAUCCGGAUUUAUUGGGCGUAAAGCGCGCGCAGGCGGUCAGGUAAGUCGGAUAUGAAAGGCUACGGCUCAACCGUAGAGCGGCAUCCGAAACUGCUUGACUUGAGUGCAGGAGAGGAGAGUGGAAUUCCCGGUGUAGCGGUGGAAUGCGUAGAGAUCGGGAGGAACACCAGUGGCGAAGGCGACUCUCUGGACUGUAACUGACGCUGAGGCGCGAAAGCGUGGGGAGCAAAC